AUCGCUUCUCGGCCUUUUGGCUAAGAUCAAGUGUAGUAUCUGUUCUUAUCAGUUUGGUAUCUGAUACGUCCUCUAUCCGAGGACAGUGUAUUGAAUGGAUUUUUGGAGCUGGGAGUUGGAAUGUGGAGCUUGCUCCGUCCACUCCACGCAUCAACCUGGUAUUGCAGUACUU
This 172-nucleotide small nuclear RNA is filed under the name Cervus elaphus hippelaphus. It matches the Rfam family "U2 spliceosomal RNA", at positions 1 to 172 of the family's 192-position model. From Rfam's summary of the family: U2 is a small nuclear RNA (snRNA) component of the spliceosome (involved in pre-mRNA splicing). The record is from RNAcentral. Lineage: Eukaryota; Metazoa; Chordata; Mammalia; Artiodactyla; Cervidae.